CCUACCUUUUACUGGGGGAUAGCCCGUCGAAAGACGGAUUAAUCCCGCAUGAUACUAUGUGAGGGCAUCUGAAGAUAGUUAAAGAUUUAUUGGUAAAAGAUGGGCAUGCGUGCCAUUAGCUAGUUGGUCGGGGUAACGGCCCNCCAAGGCGGCGAUGGCUAGGGGUUCUGAGAGGAUGAUCCCCCACACUGGUACUGAGAUACGGACCAGACUCCUACGGGAGGCAGCAGUAGGGAAUAUUGGGCAGAUGGACGGAAGUCUGACCCAGCCAUGCCGCGUGCAGGAUGAAGGCCUUCUGGGUUGUAAGCUGCUUUUAUCUAGGAGAAAAAACCCUUGCGAGGGGAACUGCGG
This 351-nucleotide ribosomal RNA is filed under the name uncultured bacterium. Its description in RNAcentral is "bacterial SSU rRNA". It matches the Rfam family "Bacterial small subunit ribosomal RNA", at positions 125 to 475 of the family's 1533-position model. The record is from RNAcentral.